GUUUUACAUGUUUUCAUCUCUCUCUGUGUGUUGACUCUGAGUAGCCUUGGCUGCUGUUUAUACCUGUAUAUAAGAGGUGCUUCUUCUCUGUCAGCACCUCUACACAUCAAGACUGACGCUACAGUCUGACACUGAGGACAAACAGGAGAAGAUCAUUUUACAGCAGGUUCUCAGCAUCUUUACGUUCGACCUCGUCUCCACCAUGAAGAUCCUGACUCUGUUUUUCUGUGUGUGCACCAUGUUGGCUCUGAACAGAGCUGAUGAUGAGAAGACCAAUACCACUCUCAUGUCUGUGUCCCUAUUAUAAAGCCACAUCCAGCAGCUGGUUACUCUGACUUAGCACCGAGACUGGAAACAGGCAGACACAGUCUAAAAGAAUCCACCUUCC
Monopterus albus (swamp eel) is the source of this 388-nucleotide long non-coding RNA. RefSeq lists it as uncharacterized. Lineage: Eukaryota; Metazoa; Chordata; Actinopteri; Synbranchiformes; Synbranchidae. The record is from RefSeq and is a predicted model, not a curated record. The transcript has 3 exons.